AAUUGAAGAGUUUGAUCAUGGCUCAGAUUGAACGCUGGCGGCAGGCUUAACACAUGCAAGUCGAACGGUAGCAGGAAGAAGCUUGCUUCUUUGCUGACGAGUGGCGGACGGGUGAGUAAUGCUUGGGAAUCUGGCUUAUGGAGGGGGAUAACUACGGGAAACUGUAGCUAAUACCGCGUAGUAUCGGGAGAUGAAAGACUGGGACCGCAAGGCCAGUUGCCAUAAGAUGAGCCCAAGUGGGAUUAGGUAGUUGGUGGGGUAAAGGCCUACCAAGCCGACGAUCUCUAGCUGGUCUGAGAGGAUGACCAGCCACACUGGAACUGAGACACGGUCCAGACUCCUACGGGAGGCAGCAGUGGGGAAUAUUGCACAAUGGGGGGAACCCUGAUGCAGCCAUGCCGCGUGAAUGAAGAAGGCCUUCGGGUUGUAAAGUUCUUUCGGUGAUGAGGAAGGGUGGUGUUUUAAUAGAACAUUACAUUGACGUUAGUCACAGAAGAAGCACCGGCUAACUCCGUGCCAGCAGCCGCGGUAAUACGGAGGGUGCGAGCGUUAAUCGGAAUGACUGGGCGUAAAGGGCACGCAGGCGGUGACUUAAGUGAGAUGUGAAAGCCCCGAGCUUAACUUGGGAAUUGCAUUUCAUACUGGGUUGCUAGAGUAUUUUAGGGAGGGGUAGAAUUCCACGUGUAGCGGUGAAAUGCGUAGAGAUGUGGAGGAAUA
This 717-nucleotide ribosomal RNA is filed under the name Glaesserella parasuis. RNAcentral describes it as "bacterial SSU rRNA". It matches the Rfam family "Bacterial small subunit ribosomal RNA", at positions 1 to 708 of the family's 1533-position model. Lineage: Bacteria; Pseudomonadati; Pseudomonadota; Gammaproteobacteria; Pasteurellales; Pasteurellaceae. The record is from RNAcentral.